GCGGGAGUAGCUCAAAGGUAGAGUCCCGGCCUUCCAAGCCGGUCGUGCGGGUUCGAUUCCCGUCUCCCGCUCCA
This 74-nucleotide transfer RNA is filed under the name bioreactor metagenome. RNAcentral's name for it is "tRNA-Gly". It matches the Rfam family "tRNA". Rfam says of the family: Transfer RNA (tRNA) molecules are approximately 80 nucleotides in length. Their secondary structure includes four short double-helical elements and three loops (D, anti-codon, and T loops). The record is from RNAcentral.